Molecule: long non-coding RNA, 364 nt
Organism: Musca domestica (house fly)
Lineage: Eukaryota; Metazoa; Arthropoda; Insecta; Diptera; Muscidae
Exons: 2
Source: RefSeq, a predicted model, not a curated record
UUUUGAAAAUGUUCUUCGAAAUUAUUAUAAUGGGUCGGAGUCACGAUUUUUUCAAAUAUUUCUUCAAUAAAUACAGCUGAAGAGGUGUUAGUAUCUCACAGUAUAGUCAUGUAUUCCCAGCUUGCCGAAAGUAUACCAAAUUUUAGGAUCAACGCUGCCUGGUUGCUGUUGAUAUUUGCCUUUGUUCUGCCAUUUUUGCCCAUUCCGUUUUUACCGCCAACAGGAAAUUUCUUUGAUACGGCCUCGGGAGCAGCCCAGGAUGCCUUAGAUGGUUUCCUUGAGGGCAUGGACUCAAAGUGAUUGUUUUCUUUUGAAAGAGUCAAAUGAUGGAAAUAGAAUGAUGAAAUAAAUGAUUUAUAACGUA